Molecule: unclassified non-coding RNA, 1430 nt
Filed under: Zea mays
Lineage: Eukaryota; Viridiplantae; Streptophyta; Magnoliopsida; Poales; Poaceae
Description: misc RNA Zm00001eb183890
Source: RNAcentral
CCACCCCUAUCUUUUUUUCAGCCGCCACUUUCUUUUUCUGCCUUCUUCUUCCUCCAGCGAGCAGCAAGCGCAGGGAGCUCAGCUCGUCCCCUCGGCCACCAUGGUGCCCUCCUCCGUGGCGCUCGCUCCCUGCAGGGAGCAGUUUCCCUUGGCCGACGCCCCAGCCAUGGCGCCUUUCUUCCCCGCGCAGCGCCUCGGCUCUCCAUCCCCCAAGCUCGAGCGUUCAUGGAACAGCUGGUCACUGGCGCCCCUGUUUUUCCCUGCGACUUCCAUGGUCGCGAGUUUCCCCUGGUCGCCAUCUCUCCAGUGCGUCCCCUGCAGGCGAGCAGCGAUUUCCAUCUCCCUACAACCUCCAAGGCUGAGCCCCUCCUCCCUCUGUUCGGCGCCCUUGCUGCUGGACGCGCAGAGCCCCAUGGCGCCUUGAUUUCUACCUCCCUCCCAUGGACGCCCAGAAAAAUCCCCCAGCCGAGCCCCCAAGCUGGCGCCCAGAAAUUCCAGCAGCCUCUCCAUGGCCGAGCUCCCUAUUCCCUCUGCUCUAGCCGGCCAUCUCCCGUAGCACACGCCGAGCUCCCCUUCGAUCCGGUUCAGCGCAGGCAGCAGCAGCUUCUAUGGAUGGCGCCCAGAAUUUUUUUUUUCUUUUCAGCGCCUCCCUGUUCAUCUUCCUCCCAGCCGACUUUCCUCCCCUGCUGCUGCUCGCCCCUUCCUCCUUUUCCCUGGUGCGGCAGCAAGGAGCCCCUGCUCGGACUGCAGCCGUGGCGUCCAAGUCUCUGCGCAGCGGUGCCGAUCCAAAACAGCAGCCCCGAUGGCUCCGCGCGCUGCCGGCUUGCUGUUUUGUGUUGCGCGGUGAGCAGCACGCCAUCGACGCUCGACAGGUGUUUGCUGUUUUUGCGCAGCCCCAUCCGUGACGCCGUCGAAACCCGUGCUAGUGGUCGACGUCGUGCCUUGCCCGUUCGACGAAAUACCGAGCCAUGUGGACAGCCAUGCGUCUAGUCACGACCCGUUCAGGACCGAGAGAUGCUGACCGUGCAAGUGAUGUGGUGCCAACCACAAGAUGCAGUCGGUGGACGACCCAAGGAAGGAUGGACUUAACCGGUGGAUGCUCGCCAAGCGAGUACCCCCCCUGCAAACACUAUCUAAGUGUUAAAAUAAAGGUACUCCUUAGGAUGGUUUGUUGAUGGUGUGACUUGGCCUUCAUCCCUGCCACCGGGAUAGACGGUCGAGUGGGUUACUGCUUCCGCAGGAGAGGACCAGGAGGAGUAGCGUGGCCAGGCUUCGCCAUGUUACUCGGUUUUCUCCGUUAGUUAUUUCCGCUGCAAUAAAUUUAUGUUUAUCAUUUUUGAAACUCCGAUAAUGUAAUCACUAAUGAUACUUAUUAAAUUGUGGUAUUAUGUUUUAUUGUAUUUCUCUGUGCCUCACCUUCGAGUGAGCUA